AACGAACGCUGGCGGCAGGCCUAACACAUGCAAGUCGAGCGCUCUUUCGGGGGUGCGGCGGGCGGGUGGGUUGCGCGUGGGAAUAUGAACAUCUCUACGAACUACCCCCGGGAAACGGAGAGUAAUAGCGAAUGCGCCCUUUGGGGGGAAGAUGUAUCGGGGUAGGAUUAGGGCGCGUGGGAUUAGGUAGUUGGUGGGGUGAUGGCCUACCAGGCCGACGACUCAUAGCUGGUGUGAGAGGAUGAGCAGCCACACUGGGACUGAGACACGGCCCAGACUCGUACGGGAGGCAGCAGUGGGGAAUCGUAGACAAUGGGGGCGACCCUGAUCUAGCCAUGCCGCGUGAGUUAUGAAGCCCUUAGGGUUGUAGAGCUCUUUCAGCUGGGAAGAUAAUGACGGUACCAGCAGAAGAAGCCCCGGCUAACUCCGUG
This 431-nucleotide ribosomal RNA is filed under the name uncultured bacterium. RNAcentral describes it as "partial 16S ribosomal RNA". It matches the Rfam family "Bacterial small subunit ribosomal RNA", at positions 28 to 507 of the family's 1533-position model. The record is from RNAcentral.